GAUGAACGCUGGCGGCGUGCCUAACACAUGCAAGUCGAGCGAGGAGGAGGAAGCUUGCUUCCGAAUCCUAGCGGCGGACGGGUGAGUAACGCGUGAGCAAUCUGCCUCAAACAGGGGGAUAACGCAUCGAAAGAUGUGCUAAUACCGCGUAAGACCACAGCACCGCAUGGUGCAGGGGUCAAAGGAGCAAUCCGGUUUGAGAUGGGCCCGCGUCUGACUAGCUAGUUGGUGGGGUAAUGGCCUACCAAGGCGACGAUCAGUAGCCGGCUUGAGAGAGUGAACGGCCACAUUGGGACUGAGACACGGCCCAAACUCCUACGGGAGGCAGCAGUGGGGGAUAUUGGACAAUGGGGGAAACCCUGAUGCAGCGACGCCGCGUGAGUGAAGAAGUAUCUCGGUACGUAAAGCUCUAUCAGCAGGGAAGAAAAUGACGGUACCUGACCAAGAAGCCCCGGCUAACUACGUG
Molecule: ribosomal RNA, 466 nt
Filed under: uncultured bacterium
Lineage: Bacteria
Description: bacterial SSU rRNA
Rfam family: Bacterial small subunit ribosomal RNA
Source: RNAcentral